Molecule: ribosomal RNA, 356 nt
Filed under: uncultured bacterium
Lineage: Bacteria
Description: bacterial SSU rRNA
Rfam family: Bacterial small subunit ribosomal RNA
Source: RNAcentral
AAGCGUUAUCCGGAAUCAUUGGGUUUAAAGGGUCCGYWKGMGGUUUGGUAAGUCAGUGGUGAAAGCCCAUCGCUCAACGGUGGAACGGCCAUUGAUACUGCCAGACUUGAAUUAUUGGGAAGUAACUAGAAUAUGUAGUGUAGCGGUGAAAUGCUUAGAGAUUACAUGGAAUACCAAUUGCGAAGGCAGGUUACUACCAAUUGAUUGACGCUGAUGGACGAAAGCGUGGGGAGCGAACAGGAUUAGAUACCCUGGUAGUCCACGCCGUAAACGAUGGAUACUAGCUGUUGGGAGCAAUUUCAGUGGCUAAGCGAAAGUGAUAAGUAUCCCACCUGGGGAGUACGGGCGCAAGCCUG